This 430-nucleotide ribosomal RNA is filed under the name Pseudomonadota bacterium. Its description in RNAcentral is "Proteobacteria bacterium partial 16S ribosomal RNA". It matches the Rfam family "Bacterial small subunit ribosomal RNA", at positions 355 to 776 of the family's 1533-position model. Lineage: Bacteria; Pseudomonadati; Pseudomonadota. The record is from RNAcentral.
UGGGGAAUAUUGGACAAUGGGGGGAACCCUGAUCCAGCCAUGCCGCGUGUGUGAAGAAGGCCUUAUGGUUGUAAAGCACUUUAAGCGAGGAGGAGGGUACUGGUAUUACUACUACCAGGUACUGGACGUUACUCGCAGAAUAAGCACCGGCUAACUCUGUGCCAGCAGCCGCGGUAAUACAGAGGGUGCGAGCGUUAAUCGGAUUUACUGGGCGUAAAGCGUGCGUAGGCGGCUAAUUGAGUCGGAUGUGAAAUCCCCGAGCUUAACUUGGGAAUUGCAUUCGAUACUGGUUAGCUAGAGUGUGGGAGAGGAUGGUAGAAUACCAGGUGUAGCGGUGAAAUGCGUAGAGAUCUGGAGGAAUACCGAUGGCGAAGGCAGCCAUCUGGCCUAACACUGACGCUGAGGUACGAAAGAAUGGGGAGCAAACAGG